Molecule: ribosomal RNA, 457 nt
Filed under: uncultured bacterium
Lineage: Bacteria
Description: SSU rRNA
Rfam family: Bacterial small subunit ribosomal RNA
Source: RNAcentral
AGGAUGAACGCUGGCGGCGUGCCUAAUACAUGCAAGUCGAGCGGUAAGGCCACUUCGGUGGUACACGAGCGGCGGACGGCUGAGUAACACGUAGGAACGUACCCCAAAGUGAGGCAUAAGCACCAGAAAUGGUGUCUAAUACCGCAUGUGAUCUUCGGAUUAAAGCUUCGGCGCUUUGGGAACGGCCUGCGCAUGAUUAGCUUGUUGGUGAGGUAAUAGCUCACCAAGGCGACGAUCAUUAGCUGGUCUGAGAGGAUGACCAGCCAGACUGGGACUGAGAACGGCCCAGACUCCUACGGGAGGCAGCAGUAGGGAAUUUUCCACAAUGGGCGAAAGCCUGAUGGAGCAACGCCGCGUGCAGGAUGAAUGCCUUCGGGUUGUAACUGCUUUUAUCUGUGAAGAUUAUGACGGUAGCAGAUGAAUAAGGAUCGGCUAACUCCGCGCCAGCAGCCGCGGU